Long non-coding RNA from Vitis vinifera (wine grape), 1112 nucleotides. RefSeq lists it as uncharacterized. The transcript is spliced from 2 exons. The record is from RefSeq and is a predicted model, not a curated record. NCBI's taxonomy places the organism in Eukaryota, Viridiplantae, Streptophyta, Magnoliopsida, Vitales, Vitaceae.
GAUUUCAGUGUUUGGAGUUUACAAUUUAUUAGCAUGAACAUGCGGUUUUGUCAAUUAAUCCAUGUUCUUGCUAUAAAAAGGAAAAAGUUAAAAAAAAAAAAGAAGAGAGAAUUAGAGUCUAUUAUUUUGUACAAAACAAUACCACUUGGCUUUCAAUUAAAGUCAGAAUUAUUGAUGGCAGUUAGGAUUUAUAUCAUUGUAAAAUUAAGGAGGGGUUUGAAGUAGUUCUUGGAAAAAAAUGGUUUAGAUCUGGAAUCAAAUAAUCCAGUUGAGUUUCACUUUGCAAUUAUAGGUUGUGAAUGGUACAUUGUAGGAUUUUAACAACUAAGGUUGUGAUGGUGUGUAGGUGGGAAGUGGGCUUAGAGGUAGUGCAAUGUUGGUGGUGCUGGUAGUAUGAUGGUUGGUGGUGGUUGCCUGGUGGUGAAGGAAGUUCAUGUUAUGGGUUGACAUGGUGGCAAUACAGUGGCUGGUGGUUGAUAAUGGUAAGGAUGCUUCUGUUAGUGGGGGUGCUAUUAUUGGUGGAGAUGGUGGAAUUGGCAGCUGUAGACUCUAUAGGAUGUGGGCUGGUUUAAAUUAUAGUCUAGCCCAUUAUAACUAACGAAUUGAAGGGAAAAAUUUUCAUUCUUAUAUUCUAUUGUGAGUCUGUUCAUUCUAUUUUUGCUUAUCUUCAUUGAAGAAUUUUGAAUCUAUGCCCCCAUUCUUUCUAUUUAAUUAUUCCGUUGGGCCUGCCACUAAUCAAGUAACAUCUCCAUCUACUUCUUCAACUUUAGCAUGUCCUCAUUAAGUUUGGUUCUUCUCCUUUGUAGGUGGAAUAGUUGCAUAAAAUUUUCAAGCUUUGUGGCUCUCCAUCUGAGGAUUAUUGGAGAAAAUCAAAGUUGCCUCAUGCAACCAUAUUUAAGCCCCAACAGCCUUAUAGGCCCUGUGUUGCAGAAACAUUUAAAGACUUUCCUACACCUGCAUUAGGGCUUAUGGAAACACUUCUUUCCAUAGAUCCUGCUGAUCGUGGAUCUGCAGCCUCUGCUCUUAAAAGUGAGUUCUUUACAGUAAAGCCACUUCCUUGUGAUCCUUCAAGCUUGCCUAAGUAUCCUCACAGCAAAGAGUUUGAUGCAAAA